This 3539-nucleotide long non-coding RNA is filed under the name Fragaria vesca (wild strawberry). RNAcentral describes it as "long non-coding RNA (FVES_LNC002404)". Lineage: Eukaryota; Viridiplantae; Streptophyta; Magnoliopsida; Rosales; Rosaceae. The record is from RNAcentral.
AAGGGAGCCUUUAAGGUGGUGCUAUGUAAAAAUAGGAUCUCGACAUAUCGUCAAUUUGUUCCUAAGGUUCAGAAGAGAAUAAUAAAGCAGUUUCACCACAUAUAUAAAUAGCUCGAGUUCCAAUACUGCAAAAGUGGGUUUGGCUGUUGUAUACUCUAUUAUUUCCCGAUUGAUGUGUUGAUCCUUUCCAAAGUAUAAGGCUUCGUUACCAGAGAAUCAAUCUUGUAGAAGUUCCCGGUUAAAGAGGCUUCAUAUUUGAUCCUCUGUUUCACUGACUUUGUUUCCACAUCACACAUAAAAGAUGCAUCUAAUAGGGUCUCUCAAACAAAACUUACCUAUAGACUGACCCACAAGAGGCUUCAAGAGAAGCAUCCACAUUUGCACAUCACACCUUAGGAAGGAGGGGCUGAUAGGUUGCUUUAGUGGAUGAAAAUGUUCUUCUUCGGCCACCAAGCUUCAAUCUUUCUCCAUGUGGAGCCUCUUUGGUUUGUCUACAAGCAGCCGCUACUCCUCCGCGAUGAGAUGAAAUCGUUUUCUUGAUGAUCCCAUAGAUUUGAAAUCGGGGGUUUUUCAAAUUGAGGCAAAAAAUAGUGAUCAUAAUGCGAGAAAGGAUUUCUGAAAGGUUUGAAUUUCAGUGUAUGUAAUUGUAUAUAGCUAGAAAAAUUUAAUUCUAGUGCAUGACUGCUUUAUUAGAGGAAAUGUUGUUUUUUAUGCAAUCAAUAUCCUCAAUUUGUUUUAUGAAUGAUUCAUAUCCGACAUAGAAAAUGAUAUUUAGUAUGUACGUUUGCUUAUGGGUUCAACAGCUAGCUGACAAUUCCUUUUGCAUUUGCAGCUAGCUAGCAACUUUUUUGAGCCAAAGAUUGAGCGGUAAUCAAUCAAAGCUGAAAGAUAUAACCUAGGAAAGAAACAUAAAAGACAUCAAGGUUUGUUUUUUAUGGCCUCAGUCAUAUCCAUCUUGCAAAUGAGGGUCGCAUACAUGCAUAUAUAGUAAAUAGUUAGGAUAUGAAAGUGGAAGAUUUGGUGGGCGACUCUGUCCAUCCUCCGCCGGGAUAUCCUCCAUUUCCCCAGGCGGGUUAUCCUCUUCAUCCCCAGGUGGGUUAUCAAAGUUAUCCUCCCCAUCCCCAAGCGAGUUAUCCUCUCCAUCCCUAUGUGGGUUAUCCUCCCCAUCUUCAGGCGGCGUUUGCACAGCAGCAUCCUGAACCGACGGUGGCAGCUCCGGCGCCUUGUGACCUAAGAAGAAAAAACGUAAAUAUUUCAAUAUGGGGAAGGGUUUUAAUUUACGUAGACGAGGCGAACUAUACCUAUUGUCACACCUAUGAAGAGUGGAGGAAUGUCUUUAAGUGAGUUUUGAAAUGUUGUUUAAGGCCUGUUAAAUAAGACAUGUGAGGAUUUAUGUCUCAUUACCAGAAAUUUAUUGUGAUUGUUAUUUUUAUAUUUUUAUGUAAAAGCCAUACGGCAAAUUCAUUAAUACUCAAACUAAAAUGACACAGAUACAUGUUUUCCCUUUCCAAACGUUUGGGCAAAUUAAGAUGUGGCAUGGUAGCACCAUUCAUUACAAAUAUUUCAUUCACUUAUUUCUAAACAAAGAAAUACUGAAGUACUAAAACUUAGGAUAAUCACACAUCCUAAACAAGGAUUUACUGUAAAUAGACUAGCUAAAUACUUUGAAUUGGGUUAAAGAAAAACCCUAGCCCAACUUAGAACCCAAAACAGCUGUCAGACAAGAGUCCAGCUCAAGACCCAUUCAGAAAAGGCCCACUCGCUGAUCCAACGCCAUUGCACUGUACAGUAUCGCCGGAGCUCCCGUCCCAACUUCGAUCUCUGCCGAUCCACGCCCUAUUGUGAUUGUUAUUAGACAUUCCUAGACUGGUUUUAAGGUUUUAUGAUUUGGUUCAUACCAAUAACUUAUUUGAACAAUUUAUGGUUUGUGUUGAUUUAUGUAUAUUGAUUUCAUUUGAAUUUAAAAAAAAAUAGUUAGGUUAUGAGCACAUAUGUGACUGUAAUACACUUAAACUAAUAAAUAGUUGAAUGAAUAUGAUAUCUCAUUUAUUGGAUUUUAUUUACAGUACAUGAAGGAAACAUAUAAAGACUUGGAGGAUUUAGAAUUUACAGUAUGAUAAAUGGUUUGGAGUGUUGAGUAUCAAGAAUGACGUACACUUUUUGUUGCAAACAUGUCUCUAAUGACCGGCUGAGCACUAAUCUGAUCAUUUUUGAAACUCUUAAAAGUAGAAGUACUUUUUCUUUCUUUCGCAAAAAAAAAAAAAAAAAAAAAAAAAAAAAAAACUUAGCUAUAACAGUUAGUAAUUAAUGAUGUUCUGAGCAAUGCUCAAAUGCAUGUACUAGAACGAUUGUUUUGGAUGAACUCCCUUUUCAAGUUUUUUGAGAUUGUCGGAUGAAGAUACUUCUACAUGGUUGUUUCUCCUAAAUACAUAUCAUUAUCUCGAACAAUCAUUGCUAAGAUUUAAAAAAUACUAAUUUAAUAUAAGUUUUUUUUUUCUUUUGGAAGAUAUAUAGUUAAAGUUUUUUGUAUGCUACUUGUAAACACAAAUAUAAUUUUUCUUACUACAACUUUUCAUCUAAAAUGUCAACUACUAUAUCAUACUUACAGUGACUGAUAAGAACAUUUUAUGCAUCGUUUAUAUUGUUAAUAUUUUUAGUUCUCUUUAUAUUCUUUUUAUUUGUUUAUUUGUGUGUUUAUAGGUAUUCUGAAACAAAUAUGAGAAAAGAGAUAACUAAGGGAAAAGUUUGAAGUCUUGGCCCAAGUAAGAGGCAUUUUUUUAUUAUAAAAAAUAAUAUGUUCGAUGUUAUCCCGACUAUUGAGCUUUCUGUCACAAAUGAGACACAUAUCUCGUAGACAAUAUCACUAAAAAACGUGACCGCACGUUGUUGUUACCGAUGCAAUAAACGACAUCCACUCCUAACAUGCCAAGGAUACCACACAGUUAGUAAACUGAAAUCUAAUCUUAUUACUCAAAUAUAUUAACUGUUUAUUGACCAUGUCAUUUAUAUACAGCCUAACCAAAUGCUUCAUUAUUUGUCUCAUAGAACAAAGAGAAAACACUCUAAAUCUAUGAAUCAUCUUUCGAAUACACGAUUCACAAAACACAUGGCCUUAACUCGUGGCAGUAGGCUUGAAGCAAUAGUUGAGGUAGAUUUCACAUAACUGCAUACAUAACAUACUGCAUUAAAAACAUAAUAAUAACAAAAGUAAAACCAACUAAAACCAUGAAUGCAUUUGAGGCAUAACAUAUCUUGUAUACUCAUCAAAAAGAAAAUAAUCAAAGGAGAGAUGGAGGAGCGGUUUUUGACCAGUGCUAAGGUGAAAGAAAUUAUGCAGAAACCUAUCGGGAAGAACGUGUUGCGCCAUUCUAUGGAUGUGGCAUUCCGGUGUUAUAACUACUUUUAAAAAUUUAACACUUUGAAAUUUUUCUGAGGACUUUAUAGAAAUAGGCCAUUAAUAUACGAUUGUCAAUGUCAAUCAAAUUUAAAUGGUUGCUGGCUAACUUGCAGAACAAAAUUAUGACUUACCGAUUCUAUAA